GUAGUUAGCCGGGGCUUCCUCCUUGGCUACCGUCACUUCCUUCGUCACCAAGGACAGAGGUUUACAACCCGAAGGCCUUCUUCCCUCACGCGGCGUUGCUGGGUCAGGCUUGCGCCCAUUGCCCAAUAUUCCCCACUGCUGCCUCCCGUAGGAGUCUGGACCGUGUCUCAGUUCCAGUGUGGCCGAUCAGCCUCUCAGCUCGGCUACCCAUCGCGGACUUGGUGGGCCGUUACCCCGCCAACUAUCUAAUGGGACGCGAACCCCUCCCUCAGCGGAUUGCUCCUUUGACCUCAUCCCGAUGCCGGGUCGUGGUCUUAUGCGGUAUUAGCACUUGUUUCCAGGUGUUAUCCCCCUCUGAAGGUCAGGUUGUUCACGCGUUACUCACCCGUUCGCCACUAAAAUUUAUCUUCCAUCCGAAAACUUCUGAUAAAUCUCCGUUACGACUUGCAUGUGUUAGGCACGCCGCCAGCGUUCGUCCUGAGCCAGAAUCGAGCCCUGA
RNAcentral lists this ribosomal RNA (499 nucleotides) under uncultured bacterium. Its description in RNAcentral is "partial 16S ribosomal RNA". The record is from RNAcentral.